Molecule: non-coding RNA, 3719 nt
Organism: Momordica charantia (bitter melon)
Lineage: Eukaryota; Viridiplantae; Streptophyta; Magnoliopsida; Cucurbitales; Cucurbitaceae
Source: RefSeq, a predicted model, not a curated record
GGUUGUGGCUUCUGAGUUCUGCUUUUGCCUGCCACUUCCAAAUGAUUUUUAAAAUAAAACGAACAACUCGUAUAUACCUCAAAAGCAUUCUCAGAACUCCCGAUUCUGGAGUUGACGCAACGAAAAAGCGCGCCAAAGCUGUGAUUGUGACCUCUGUGUCCGUAUGACUGUAUCUAUAUAUGUAUAUCUUAGAUGAAUUUUUGCAGUGCAGGUGUCAUGGGGAAGCAGAAGCAACAGGUGAUUUCUCGAUUCUUUGCGCCAAAACCCAAGUCCCCAUCCUCUUCCUCUUCAUCGCCGCCGUCAAUUCCGGCUCCUCAACCGUUUUCACCCCCAAAGAUAUCGGCAACAGUCACUUUCUCUCCUUCCAAACGCCUCCUCUCUUCUGCACUCGCCUCCCAAUCGACACCACCCAAAUCCUCAAAACGCCCAAAACUCUCCCCCCAUACCCAAAACCCUGUUUCUCCCCUGCCCAAUCCCUCACUUCACAAAAGAUUCCUCCAGAAGUUCCUCGAACCCACCGAAAAUACUCUACAACCUUCUAAUCCAAACCCCAAACCACCGCCGGGGGGUGAUCCCAAAUACACCCCUUUGGAGCUACAAGUUGUGGAACUGAAAAAGAGACACCCUGAUGUUCUUUUGAUGGUAGAAGUUGGUUACAGGUACAGAUUCUUCGGGGAAGAUGCCGAAAUAGCGGCUAAAGUGUUGGGUAUUUAUGCCCACUUAGAUCAUAAUUUCAUGACUGCGAGUAUACCAACGUUUAGGUUGAAUGUACAUGUGAGGAGGCUGGUGAGCGCAGGGUAUAAGGUGGGUGUAGUGAAGCAAACCGAAACUGCUGCAAUUAAGGCGCACGGAUCGAACAAAUUAGGCCCCUUUUGCAGAGGAUUGUCGGCAUUGUAUACUAAGGCAACACUUGAGGCGGCCCAGAAUUUAGGGGGAGGUGAAGAGGGGUGUGGGGGAGAGAGUAACUACUUGUUCUGUGUGGUUGAAAAGGGUAUGUUGGUGGAAAAUUUGGACUGUAGAAUAGAAAAUGGGGUUGAUGUGAAAAUUGGGAUGGUUGGAAUUGAGAUAUCAACUGGGGAUGUUAUUUAUGAGGAAUAUAGUGAUAACUUUAUGAGAAGUGGGCUUGAAUCAAUGCUUUUGAGCUUGUCUCCUGCUGAGUUACUUGUUGGGGAUCCCAUAUCAAAGCUAACAGAGAAGUUAUUACUAGGUUAUGCUGGACCUGCCUCAAAUGUUCGUGUGGAGCAUGUUUCACGAGAUUGCUUCAAAGAUGGCAGUGCACUAGCUGAAGUGAUGUCUUUAUAUGAAAACAUUUCCCAAGAUAACUUAGCAGAUCAUCACAACCCGGAUACAGGAUUUAUUGAACAAAAGACUGAUCACUUGGCUAUUAAGGAAAUAAUGAACUUGCCAGAUUUAGCUCUUCAAGCAUUGGCCUUGACCAUUCGUCAUUUAAAGCAAUUUGGUUUAGAAAGAAUUGUGUCGUUGGGGUCUUCUUUCAGGCCAUUCUCAUGCAAAGUGGAAAUGUCUCUUUCAGGCAAUACACUUAAACAACUUGAGGUUCUGAAGAAUAAUGAUGAUGGUUCUGAAACUGGCUCCUUACUACAGUCCAUGAAUCAUACUCUUACUAUAUUCGGUUCAAGGCUUUUUCGGCAAUGGAUAACACAUCCUUUAUGUGAUAGAGACAUGAUAAUUGCUCGUCAAGAGGCCGUCUCUGAAAUUGCUGCUUCUAUGGCAUCUUCAAAAGUAUCACAAAACAUCAUAGAGUUAGAUGAAGCAGAUUCUGAUGUGAUGGUCAUUGAACCAGAAUUGAAUUAUGUACUUUCUUCAGUGUUAACAACUUUGGGAAGGACACCAGAUAUUCAGCGAGGUAUAACAAGAAUCUUUCACCGAACUGCAACCCCAUCAGAGUUCAUCGCAGUUGUUCAAGCUGUUUUAUUUGCUGGAAAACAGCUUCAGAAGUUUAACAUCGAUGAAGAGGAUGACAAUUAUUCCAGUGCAAGUAUGAUUGGAUCCAAGCUCCUAAGAAAGCUGAUUUUAUCUGCCUCUUCCUCUGGUUUAAUUAACACUGGUGCAAAACUUUUGUCAACGAUCAGCAAAGAAGCUGCAGAUCAAGGGGACCUACCAAACCUUAUGAUCAUUAAUAAUAAUGACCAAUUUCCCAAGGUUGGUAGAGCUCGAAAGGAGGUUCAAUCUGUGAGAGAGAAAUUGGAUUCUCUGAUCACCUUAUACCGCAAGCAGCUUGGAAUGCGGAAGUUGGAGUUUGUUAGCGUUUUGGGAACUACGCAUUUGAUUGAGUUGGCCUCAGAUGUGAAGGUACCUUCAAAUUGGGUUAAGGUCAAUAGUACCAAGAAAACCAUAAGGUAUCACCCACCUGCAGUGUUGAGUGCAUUAGACGAGCUAUCCCUGGUGAAUGAGGAGCUCAUGGUGGCAUCUCGUGAUGCUUGGGAUGUCUUUCUAAGCGGGUUCAGUAGCUAUUAUGCAGAGUUUCAAGCUGCUGUUCAAGCGUUGGCUUCCAUAGACUGUCUGUAUUCGUUGGCAAUUCUCUCAAGAAAUAUGAAUUAUGUUCGUCCAGAGUUUGUGCAUGACGAUGAACCUGGUCAGAUAUUUAUCCGUUCUGGACGCCAUCCGGUUUUGGAGAGUACAUUAGGAGGGAAUUUUGUGCCGAACGACACAAAUAUGAAUGUGAAUGGAGAGCAUUGUGAAAUAGUUACAGGACCAAACAUGGGAGGGAAAAGUUGCUACAUUCGACAAGUGGCUCUCAUUGCUCUGAUGGCUCAGGUUGGUUCCUUCGUACCAGCAUUGUCUGCAAAACUCCGCGUCCUUGAUGCUAUAUACACUCGAAUGGGUGCUUCUGACACUAUUCAACUUGGAAGAAGCACCUUCCUAGAAGAAAUGACCGAAACUUCACACAUACUUCAACAUUCCACCUCACGUUCCCUGGUUAUAAUCGACGAGCUUGGUAGAGGUACUAGUACCCACGACGGCCUUGCCAUUGCUUAUGCCGCGUUGCAUAAUCUGCUUAAAUACAAAAAAUGUUUGCUCCUAUUUGUCACACACUAUCCCAAAGUUGCUGAUAUUGUGAAGGAAUUUCCACGAUCUGUGGGGGUAUACCAUGUCUCCUACCUUACUUCACACCAAAAUCCAACUUUAUCGCCCCUAAAAUCUGAUCACCAAGAUGUUACUUAUUUGUAUAAACUGGUUCCUGGUGUUGCGGAAAGCAGUUUCGGCUUCAAGGUUGCCCAACUUGCACAGAUACCUUUAUCAUGCAUUGAACGGGCUACAAAAAUGGGGGUCUGCUUACAAGCAUUAGAAACCAGAAGAGCACAACGAAAGUCCAAAGAAGAGCAGCCUUCGCAAGAAACAUCAGGCAAGAGGUUGGAAUUCUUUCUUCGAGAUGCCGGUGAGUCAGAAGAUGCGUAUGAGGAAUUCUUUCUGUCCUUGAAAGCUUUAAUAUGUGCCGCUGAUGAUAUUGAACAAAGUUGCCAACAAUUGAACCGAGCUAGAAGCAUGGCCAUGGACUUGUUAGGAAGACAGGUGAGAGAAAUCAUUCAUUGUCGGGUGGAUAAUCAAUGAGUUUUUUUGUUGAGUAGUAACAGGCUUGACUAGGACAGCACCUUGAAUCUAUGUACUUGAUUUGUCUUUACUCUGAAGUUGCAUUCUUAAGGAAAAGGGGAGGGACUUUGCAAAUUUCAUUCAUUAAUGAAGGCCAGAUUCUGGAUCAU